This 485-nucleotide ribosomal RNA is filed under the name uncultured bacterium. RNAcentral's name for it is "partial 16S ribosomal RNA". It matches the Rfam family "Bacterial small subunit ribosomal RNA", at positions 29 to 523 of the family's 1533-position model. The record is from RNAcentral.
AGUGAACGCUGGCGGCGUGCUUAACACAUGCAAGUCGAACGAGAACGGAAUAUAGCUUGCUAUAUUUGUCAGCUAAGUGGCGCACGGGUGAGUAAUGUAUAGAUAACCUGCCCUUAAGAAAGGAAUAACAGUUGGAAACGACUGCUAAUGCCCUAUAUGCCUUUAAUACAUAAGUAUGCAAGGGAAACGCUUUAGUGCUUAAGGAUGGGUCUGUAUGGUAUCAGCUUGUUGGUGAGGUAAUGGCUCACCAAGGCUAUGACGCCUAACUGGUUUGAGAGUAUCAUGAGUCACAAUGGAACUGAGAAGCUGUCCAGACUCCUACGGGAGGCAGCAGUGGGGAAUAUUGCACAAUGGACGAAAGUCUGAUGCAGCAACGCCGCGUGGAGGAUGACACAUUUCGGUGCGUAAACUCCUUUUAUAUAGGAAGAUAAUGACGGUACUAUAUGAAUAAGCACCGGCUAACUCCGUGCCAGCCGCCGCCGUAA